AACGAACGCUGGCGGCAUGCCUAACACAUGCAAGUCGAACGAGACCUUCGGGUCUAGUGGCGCACGGGUGCGUAACGCGUGGGAAUCUGCCCUUGGGUUCGGAACAACAGUUAGAAAUGACUGCUAAUACCGGAUGAUGACGUAAGUCCAAAGAUUUAUCGCCCAAGGAUGAGCCCGCGUAAGAUUAGGUAGUUGGUGGGGUAAAGGCCUACCAAGCCGACGAUCUUUAGCUGGUCUGAGAGGAUGAUCAGCCACACUGGGACUGAGACACGGCCCAGACUCCUACGGGAGGCAGCAGUGGGGAAUAUUGGACAAUGGGCGAAAGCCUGAUCCAGCAAUGCCGCGUGAGUGAUGAAGGCCUUAGGGUUGUAAAGCUCUUUUACCAGGGAUGAUAAUGGCAGUACCUGGAGAAUAAGCUCCGGCUAACUCCGUGCCAGCCGCCGCAGUAA
RNAcentral lists this ribosomal RNA (449 nucleotides) under uncultured bacterium. RNAcentral describes it as "partial 16S ribosomal RNA". It matches the Rfam family "Bacterial small subunit ribosomal RNA", at positions 29 to 523 of the family's 1533-position model. The record is from RNAcentral.